AGUGAACGCUGGCGGUAGGCCUAACACAUGCAAGUCGAACGGCAGCACAGUAAGAGCUUGCGCUUACGGGUGGCGAGUGGCGGACGGGUGAGGAAUACAUCGGAAUCUACUUUUUCGUGGGGGAUAACGUAGGGAAACUUACGCUAAUACCGCAUACGACCUACGGGUGAAAGCAGGGGAUCUUCGGACCUUGCGCGAUUCAAUGAGCCGAUGCCGGAUUAGCUAGUUGGCGGGGUAAAGGCCCACCAAGGCGACGAACCGUAGCUGGUCUGAGAGGAUGAUCAGCCACACUGGAACUGAGACACGGUCCAGACUCCUACGGGAGGCAGCAGUGGGGAAUAUUCGACAAUGGGCGCAAGCCUGACCCAGCCAUACCGCGUGGGUGAAGAAGGCCUUCGGGUUGUAAAGCCCUUUUGUUGGGAAAGAAAAGCAGCAGGUUAAUACCCCGCUGUUCUGACGGUACCCAAAGAAUAAGCACCGGCUAACUUCGUG
This 492-nucleotide ribosomal RNA is filed under the name uncultured bacterium. Its description in RNAcentral is "partial 16S ribosomal RNA". It matches the Rfam family "Bacterial small subunit ribosomal RNA", at positions 29 to 507 of the family's 1533-position model. The record is from RNAcentral.